GAUGAACGCUGGCGGCGUGCCUAAUACAUGCAAGUCGAGCGAACAGAUGAGGAGCUUGCUCCUCUGACGUUAGCGGCGGACGGGUGAGUAACACGUGGAUAACCUACCUAUAAGACUGGGAUAACUUCGGGAAACCGGAGCUAAUACCGGAUAAUAUAUUGAACCGCAUGGUUCAAUAGUGAAAGACGGUUUUGCUGUCACUUAUAGAUGGAUCCGCGCCGCAUUAGCUAGUUGGUAAGGUAACGGCUUACCAAGGCAACGAUGCGUAGCCGACCUGAGAGGGUGAUCGGCCACACUGGAACUGAGACACGGUCCAGACUCCUACGGGAGGCAGCAGUAGGGAAUAUUCCGCAAUGGGCGAAAGCCUGACGGAGCAACGCCGCGUGAGUGAUGAAGGUCUUCGGAUCGUAAAACUCUGUUAUUAGGGAAGAACAAAUGUGUAAGUAACUAUGCACGUCUUGUCGGUACCUAAUCAGAAAGCCACGGCUAACUACGUG
This 497-nucleotide ribosomal RNA is filed under the name uncultured bacterium. Its description in RNAcentral is "partial 16S ribosomal RNA". It matches the Rfam family "Bacterial small subunit ribosomal RNA", at positions 28 to 507 of the family's 1533-position model. The record is from RNAcentral.